CCUACGGGAGGCAGCAGUGGGGAAUAUUGGACAAUGGGCGAAAGCCUGAUCCAGCCAUGCCGCGUGUGUGAAGAAGGCCUUCGGGUUGUAAAGCACUUUCAGUGGGGAAGAAAGCCUUGGGGCUAAUACCCUCGAGGAAGGACAUCACCCACAGAAGAAGCACCGGCUAACUCCGUGCCAGCAGCCGCGGUAAUACGGAGGGUGCGAGCGUUAAUCGGAAUUACUGGGCGUAAAGCGCGCGUAGGCGGUCUGAUAAGCCGGUUGUGAAAGCCCCGGGCUCAACCUGGGAACGGCAUCCGGAACUGUCAGGCUAGAGUGCAGGAGAGGAAGGUAGAAUUCCCGGUGUAGCGGUGAAAUGCGUAGAGAUCGGGAGGAAUACCAGUGGCGAAGGCGGCCUUCUGGACUGACACUGACGCUGAGGUGCGAAAGCGUGGGUAGCAAACAGGAUUAGAUACCCUGGUAUC
Molecule: ribosomal RNA, 464 nt
Filed under: Vreelandella stevensii
Lineage: Bacteria; Pseudomonadati; Pseudomonadota; Gammaproteobacteria; Oceanospirillales; Halomonadaceae
Description: partial 16S ribosomal RNA
Rfam family: Bacterial small subunit ribosomal RNA
Source: RNAcentral